UACGGGGGGAGCAAGCGUUGUUCGGAUUUACUGGGCGUAAAGGGCGCGUAGGCGGUCGUGACAAGUCACUUGUGAAAUCUCCGGGCUUAACUCGGAACGGUCAAGUGAUACUGUCGGACUAGAGUACAGAAGGGGCAACUGGAAUUCUCGGUGUAGCGGUGAAAUGCGUAGAUAUCGGGAGGAACACCGAUGGCGAAGGCAGCCCCCUGGGUCAAGAUUGACGCUCAUGCACGAAAGCGUGGGGAGCAAACAGG
RNAcentral lists this ribosomal RNA (254 nucleotides) under uncultured bacterium. RNAcentral describes it as "partial 16S ribosomal RNA". It matches the Rfam family "Bacterial small subunit ribosomal RNA", at positions 524 to 776 of the family's 1533-position model. The record is from RNAcentral.